AUAGAGAGGAAGAAAAUACCUAUCGGAGCCUCUCCGAUGGAGCUUCAAAAAAAGUUUUGUAGCAGCAAAGCAAAAUAUCACAAAAAUGGACUGGUUUGUGUUGAAACAAUGUUGGAGAAAAUGAACAGCAUUGAGACUAUUUUCUACUGCUGUUUUUGGACAGAAAAAUACCCAAGAAUGUGA
Non-coding RNA from Vicia faba (fava bean), 183 nucleotides. The record is from the annotation of a GenBank genome assembly. NCBI's taxonomy places the organism in Eukaryota, Viridiplantae, Streptophyta, Magnoliopsida, Fabales, Fabaceae.